AGCAACAGAAAACCAAGUGAUGAACCCACAAUGAAAGGUCACAUAAUAUUUGGAAAGGGAGCUUCACUUUAUAUGGUAUUUAACAAAGGAUGAAAAUAUAAGAAAAGGCUGCAUUACCCGAUAGAGAGUGUUUGUUCUACCAAAGAUCAGUUCUCAGAACACAUUUUCCACUACAUCAUUUGUCAGAAAUCCAUCUAUUAGCAGAGCAAAGAAGAAUGGCUGUGAUCACCAGGACUUGGAAGCUAAGGCCCAGAGAGGAGGAGAAACUUGAUCAAAGUCAAUCAGACAAUGCAGAAUCGAGAAAAGUACCUGGACCUCUAUGCCCAUGCUUCUAGCAGCCAGCCUCCUAAAAUACCUCUAGUUGAAGCCAAAGUUAGAAUCCUUCUACGAAACUACAGGAUUAAAAUGGAAUGGUUACAUGACCCAGGCUUGACCAAUCAGAUCAUCCAAACCCUUUGCCACAGUGAUUGGUCCAGGGAUACAUGCAUGAGCCAGCUCAGGCCUAAGCCACACUCAUCUUGUGGAUGACACUGGAGCUGUGACAGUCUGUUCUGUCCAGGCAGGGUGUCUUUUAUUUUUAUUGGAAAUAAGAUUAUCACAGAAUUGCUGGCUGUUGAUACUCUUUCUCAUCAACUCCCCAAAUGGAAAUGCUUUCAACCACUGCAGAAGUAAAAAAUUACCCAAAGGCUGUAUGAUGCAAACUCUUUCUUUGGCUUUAUCUUACUGAUAAGAAUAAAAAUAACACCUCACGUAUGUAU
This 758-nucleotide long non-coding RNA is filed under the name Homo sapiens (human). RNAcentral describes it as "PREDICTED lncRNA (TCONS_00265602)". Lineage: Eukaryota; Metazoa; Chordata; Mammalia; Primates; Hominidae. The record is from RNAcentral.